RNAcentral lists this unclassified non-coding RNA (1267 nucleotides) under Hevea brasiliensis (rubber tree). The record is from RNAcentral. Lineage: Eukaryota; Viridiplantae; Streptophyta; Magnoliopsida; Malpighiales; Euphorbiaceae.
UCCAGCCAUCUCAUCAAUUGAUAUUGUUCCAUCAUUAGCUUUCUUUGCGAGGGUGUUGAUCUCCUUCUCUAUCUCAGCAAAAUUCAUCUUAUCCGCAUUACGAAUAACUGGGACAACAAGGCCCUGGAUUGAAUAGGUUGAAAACAUCAAGUAUCAUAUGAAUAAGAUGAAAACAUCAAGUACCAUAUGAAUAAGAAUCCGAUUCAUACAAAUAUUUUCAUUCCUCAUGCUUUAUGAUUAAAUAGGAAUCUUUUUCUCAAAAUUUCACAUGCAACUUCAGCUAAAUAGAAAGAAGCGGUGAAGAACAGUAGCUGUUUUCCCUUUUUCAUAUGUGGGGCCAGAGAACCUUUAAUAAAAUCAUAGUAGUUAUUUUCUCUUUUUUCUUUCUCUUUUUUAUUUUUGAAUUCAGAAUUUUCAUGACUCAAAAUGAAAACAAAAAAAGGGCAUUUUAAACAUUAAGUUAUUAUUUUAAAAAAUAGAAAUUAAAUUUCCAGACACACAAGUACCAAAUGCAGCAAAUUCUGUCCGUGUUUAUUAGCAUAAGAAGCUAAUGAGUUCAGAAAGAUGAAGGCAAACCUUCGGAGUGCCAACAGCAAUACUGACGUCUACAUAAUCUCUAUAUAUAAUAUCAUCCCCAUCAAUAACUGCAUUUAUAAUAGGUUGAUUCUGAAGCCCACUUACAGCAGCCUUUACAAAUCCUGACAUAAGGCCCAACUUAACUCCAUGCUUUUCAACAAAAGCGUCCUUAUAGUCAGAACGGAGCUUCAUCAAGUUAGUCAUGUCAACUUCAUUGAAUGUAGUUAACAAUGCAAAUGUGUUUUGAGAGUCCUUCAAUCGCGUUGCAACCCUUUUCCGGAGCCUUGUCAUAGGAACUCGUCUUUCCCUUUCCUUAGGAGGAAGCUGAGGUUCUCUUGCAGAGAGUUUAGGUGGUGCUGGUGCUGGUGCUUUAGGCUUCUCUGUUGCAGGAGCAGUUUCAACUUUAGGCUUUUCCUCUUUCUUUCCUUGAGGAGCAGAUUCCUUCUUAGGGGGAGGUUUCUCUGUUAUUUUCUCAGAGGGAGCAACAUGAGCUACACCUUCACCAGACUUUGAAACAACAGCAACCUUAGUUCCCGGUUCAACAGUCUCCCCUUCCUUGGCUACAAACUCUUUUAUCACACCUGCUUCUGGACUAGCCACAUCAAUUGUCACCUUAUCUGUCUCAAUUUGGGCAAUUGGCUCAUCAACUUCUACCCUAUCACCAGGAUUCUUCAAGAAUUUUGCCAAAGUG